UGAAUAAUCAAGUGGCUGGAACUAAGUAAGAAAUCCACUCGGGCUGCCGAAAUUAAAGGACUGGCGACUGCCAAAAGCCCCGCCAAACAAUCGGCCAACGCGGUGGCAAAAGGUACAGUGUAAACACGCCGACGCCAAAGGGAUAAGCAAAGCAAAAGGUUCGCUAAUUAAAAAAAUAGAAACUCGGUGCCCUUUAAAGACGUCCGGGGACGUCCGUCCCCAUCCAUCACCUGAUGAUGCAUGGCCAUGAAGUGUGAAAAAUUCGGCCUCAUUUUUAAAUAGACUUAAGUCGGUCCGGUUCCCUUCUUCGCUUUGUUUUGAACUAGGGGGCAACGGCACCGCCUGCCAUUUAUUUGGCUCAGUUCUCGAAAUUAAUUAAACACUCGCCGGCACAAGGUCAAAAGAGGAAAUGGUCUCCCCCAUACACGGCUAGUGCCAACAAUUAGCCUGCAAGGGGCCGCAAUCGGGACGGAUGUUUGGCCAAGAAAAAAGGGAAACUGAAACUGAAAUAGAAAUUCUGUUGGUUCGGGGAAAACGGAAAUUUUAACUAACUAGGGGCUGCAAGGCCUUCCGCUUCCCGCCCAUCAAAAGCUACACAAUUACGCGUUUUAAUAAAGUUUCAGCGAACUCCGCGCAUAAAAUUAAACAAUUAAGCAAAUAGUUCUUGAGACUUAAAAUGAGCAGCCAUGAGCUCUUUGACAAAUGGAAGUGGAAAAAAAAUGUGAACAAAAUUAUCUUUUCGGGUUUAUUGGCUAAAGAUGAAAUUAAAACCAGUAGAAAACCCUACUAAAUAAUUAUCUAAAAAAUAGAAGCAGAUCAACUUUACAAAUAACAUGUUUUUAAAUUUA
Non-coding RNA from Drosophila takahashii, 848 nucleotides. The record is from RefSeq and is a predicted model, not a curated record. NCBI's taxonomy places the organism in Eukaryota, Metazoa, Arthropoda, Insecta, Diptera, Drosophilidae.